RNAcentral lists this ribosomal RNA (200 nucleotides) under uncultured archaeon. RNAcentral describes it as "partial 16S ribosomal RNA". It matches the Rfam family "Archaeal small subunit ribosomal RNA", at positions 530 to 731 of the family's 1478-position model. The record is from RNAcentral.
CGCGCAAGUCAUCGGGAAAUCACCCGCCCAACGGGUGGCCGUCCGGUGGAAACUGCACGGCUUGGGACCGGAAGGCGCGACGGGUACGUCCGGGGUAGGAGUGAAAUCCCGUAAUCCUGGACGGACCGCCGAUGGCGAAAGCACGUCGCGAGAACGGAUCCGACAGUGAGGGACGAAAGCCAGGGUCUCGAACCGGAUUA